Transfer RNA from Felis catus (domestic cat), 85 nucleotides. It matches the Rfam family "tRNA". From Rfam's summary of the family: Transfer RNA (tRNA) molecules are approximately 80 nucleotides in length. Their secondary structure includes four short double-helical elements and three loops (D, anti-codon, and T loops). The record is from Rfam. NCBI's taxonomy places the organism in Eukaryota, Metazoa, Chordata, Mammalia, Carnivora, Felidae.
GCCUGGGUGGCUCAGUCGGUUGAGCGUCUGACUUCGGCUCAGGUCAUGAUCUCACAGCUCGUGAGUUCGAGCCCCAUGUCGGGCU